RNAcentral lists this transfer RNA (72 nucleotides) under Camelus bactrianus (Bactrian camel). It matches the Rfam family "tRNA". From Rfam's summary of the family: Transfer RNA (tRNA) molecules are approximately 80 nucleotides in length. Their secondary structure includes four short double-helical elements and three loops (D, anti-codon, and T loops). Lineage: Eukaryota; Metazoa; Chordata; Mammalia; Artiodactyla; Camelidae. RNAcentral also lists the same sequence under 2 other names. The record is from Rfam by way of RNAcentral.
GAGGGUAUAGCACAAUGGUAACGAGCAUGCUUAGCAUGCAUGAGGUCUUGGGUUCAAUCCCCAGUACCUCCU